RNAcentral lists this ribosomal RNA (1397 nucleotides) under uncultured Candidatus Pelagibacter sp. Its description in RNAcentral is "bacterial SSU rRNA". It matches the Rfam family "Bacterial small subunit ribosomal RNA". Lineage: Bacteria; Pseudomonadati; Pseudomonadota; Alphaproteobacteria; Candidatus Pelagibacterales; Candidatus Pelagibacteraceae. The record is from RNAcentral.
AACGUACGCUGGCGGCACGCCUAACACAUGCAAGUCGAACGAAGUAGCAAUACUUAGUGGCAGACGGGUGAGUAACAUGUAGGUAUCUGCCCUUUGGCCUGGAAUAACACGAGGAAACUUGUGCUAAUACCGGAUAAGUCUUUACGGAGAAAGCUUUAUGCACCAUUGGAUGAGCCUGCACUUGAUUAGUUUGUUGGUGGGGUAAUGGCCUACCAAGACUGUGAUCAAUAGCUGAUUUGAGAGGAUGAUCAGCCACAUUGGGACUGAGACACGGCCCAAACUCCUACGGGAGGCAGCAGUGGGGAAUCUUGCACAAUGGAGGAAACUCUGAUGCAGCGAUGCCGCGUGAGUGAAGAAGGCCCUUGGGUUGUAAAGCUCUUUCGUCGGGGAAGAAAAUGACUGUACCCGAAUAAGAAGGUCCGGCUAACUUCGUGCCAGCAGCCGCGGUAAUACGAAGGGACCUAGCGUAGUUCGGAAUUACUGGGCUUAAAGAGUUCGUAGGUGGUUGAAAAAGUUAGUGGUGAAAUCCCAGAGCUUAACUCUGGAACUGCCAUUAAAACUUUUCAGCUAGAGUAUGAUAGAGGAAAGCAGAAUUUCUAGUGUAGAGGUGAAAUUCGUAGAUAUUAGAAAGAAUACCAAUUGCGAAGGCAGCUUUCUGGAUCAUUACUGACACUGAGGAACGAAAGCAUGGGUAGCGAAGAGGAUUAGAUACCCUCGUAGUCCAUGCCGUAAACGAUGUGUGUUAGACGUUGGAAAUUUAUUUUCAGUGUCGCAGGGAAACCGAUAAACACACCGCCUGGGGAGUACGACCGCAAGGUUAAAACUCAAAUGAAUUGACGGGGACCCGCACAAGUAGUGGAGCAUGUGGUUUAAUUCGAAGAUACGCGCAGAACCUUACCAACACUUGACAUGUUCGUCGCGACUCUAAGAGAUUAGAGUUUUCGGUUCGGCCGGACGAAACACAGGUGCUGCAUGGCUGUCGUCAGCUCGUGUCGUGAGAUGUUGGGUUAAGUCCCGCAACGAGCGCAACCCUCACUUUUAGUUGCCAUCAUUAAGUUGGGCACUCUGAAAGAACUGCCAGUGAUAAGCUGGAGGAAGGUGGGGAUGACGUCAAGUCCUCAUGGCCCUUACGUGUUGGGCUACACACGUGCUACAAUGGUAUCUACAACAGGAAGCAAGAUUGCGAAGUUAAGCAAAUCCCUAAAAGAUACCUCAGUUCGGAUUGCACUCUGCAACUCGAGUGCAUGAAGCUGGAAUUACUAGUAAUCGUGGAUCAGCGUGCCACGGUGAAUGCGUUCCCGGGUCUUGUACACACCGCCCGUCACACCAUGGGAGUUGGUUCUACCUUAAGGCAAGGUUUCAAACCCCUGACCACGGUAUAGUCAGCGACUGGGGUG